ACUUCGCCGUUAUUGCGGUAUCCGGAUGGUGAUCGCAUCGACCCAACAUGCGCGCCCCCAACCCACCAUCCGGACGUACUCACG
Molecule: small RNA, 84 nt
Filed under: Rhizobium sp. NXC14
Lineage: Bacteria; Pseudomonadati; Pseudomonadota; Alphaproteobacteria; Hyphomicrobiales; Rhizobiaceae
Description: miscellaneous other RNA
Source: RNAcentral